Molecule: ribosomal RNA, 402 nt
Filed under: uncultured bacterium
Lineage: Bacteria
Description: bacterial SSU rRNA
Rfam family: Bacterial small subunit ribosomal RNA
Source: RNAcentral
AAUUUUACACAAUGGGGGAAACCCUGAUGUAGCGACACCGCGUGAGCGAAGAAGCCCUUCGGGGUGUAAAGCUCUGUCAGCAGGGACGAAAAAAAUGACGGUACCUGCAGAGGAAGCAUCGGCUAACUACGUGCCAGCAGCCGCGGUAAGACGUAGGAUGCAAGCGUUGUCCGGAUUUAUUGGGCGUAAAGAGUUCGUAGGCGGUUCGUUAAGUCUGGUGUAAAAGACUGGGGCCCAACCCUGGGAUCGCACUGGAUACUGGCGGACUCGAGUGCAGUAGAGGCAAGCGGAAUUCCGAGUGUAGCGGUGAAAUGCGUAGAUAUUGGGAAGAACACCGGUGGCGUAAGCGGCUUGCUGGGCUGUUACUGACGCUGAGGAACGAAAGCUAGGGGAGCAAAUGGG